This is a long non-coding RNA of Symphalangus syndactylus (siamang), 369 nucleotides long. RefSeq lists it as uncharacterized. The record is from RefSeq and is a predicted model, not a curated record. Lineage: Eukaryota; Metazoa; Chordata; Mammalia; Primates; Hylobatidae.
CCUGGCGCUCCCUGUACCUUAGGAGACAACUGAAAGGUACAUCGGGGACAGAAGCCCCAGGCACCCGAGACCCACUCGGGAGCCCUGGGCUGCUCAGCCACACAACUCAGGAAGUGGCUGAUAGCAGCUGCUCUCCAUCAGGCCCUUGGCCACCAGGACCCCACCACAUCGCCACCUCCUGGAACAGAAUGUGAAAGAUGAAGUCACCAAAGAACCAGCUGCACAUCUUCCUGGAAGGUCUGGGCCGUGUGGGUGACAAGCCUGUUUCUGCAUCUUGCCCACUGCCCAGACAGCGAGGGUACCACCACUCCACACCACUCAGCACCCGGCCGACACCUCUCACCUGAUGCCCGUGGAGUGUGUAGAGCA